AGGACAGACUUUUGAAGCCUUUAGGGGGAUUUUCUGGGUUUACAGGAGAAUGGAGAGACUUGGCUGCUGUCAUCAGCAGGGAUAUUUACCUUCAUGACCCUGACAUAAGAUGGGAUGACAUCAUUGGCUUAGAUGCCGCUAAGAGGCUUGUU
Stylophora pistillata is the source of this 152-nucleotide long non-coding RNA. NCBI's taxonomy places the organism in Eukaryota, Metazoa, Cnidaria, Anthozoa, Scleractinia, Pocilloporidae. The record is from RefSeq and is a predicted model, not a curated record.